RNAcentral lists this ribosomal RNA (301 nucleotides) under uncultured bacterium. Its description in RNAcentral is "partial 16S ribosomal RNA". It matches the Rfam family "Bacterial small subunit ribosomal RNA", at positions 509 to 807 of the family's 1533-position model. The record is from RNAcentral.
CAGUAGCCACGGUAAUACGUAGGGUGCAAGCGUUAAUCGGAAUUACUGGGCGUAAAGCGUGCGCAGGCGGUUUGUUAAGACAGAUGUGAAAUCCCCGGGCUCAACCUGGGAACUGCAUUUGUGACUGGCAAGCUAGAGUAUGGCAGAGGGGGGUGGAAUUCCGCGUGUAGCAGUGAAAUGCGUAGAUAUGCGGAGGAACACCGAUGGCGAAGGCAGCCCCCUGGGCCAAUACUGACGCUCAUGCACGAAAGCGUGGGGAGCAAACAGGAUUAGAUACCCGAGUAGUCCCUGUCUCUUAUAC